AAACUGCAGGUGGUUCUGUGUACUUCCUACACAUCACAUCGAGAACAUAGCACUUUUAUUUCCCCAAAUGUGGGAAACUCAACUGCAUAAUUUGUGGUAGUGGGGGACUGCGUCCAUUCUCCCG
Molecule: small nuclear RNA, 124 nt
Filed under: Dasypus novemcinctus (nine-banded armadillo)
Lineage: Eukaryota; Metazoa; Chordata; Mammalia; Cingulata; Dasypodidae
Description: U1 spliceosomal RNA (ENSDNOG00000043560.1)
Source: RNAcentral